RNAcentral lists this unclassified non-coding RNA (220 nucleotides) under Ascomycota sp. RNAcentral's name for it is "partial contains small subunit ribosomal RNA, internal transcribed spacer 1, and 5.8S ribosomal RNA". The stretch from base 1 to 47 matches the Rfam family "Eukaryotic small subunit ribosomal RNA", at positions 1785 to 1831 of the family's 1831-position model. Lineage: Eukaryota; Fungi; Ascomycota. The record is from RNAcentral.
AAAGUCGUAACAAGGUCUCCGUUGGUGAACCAGCGGAGGGAUCAUUAAAGAGUUGCAAAACUCCCACAACCAUCGCGAACGAUACCCGUAACCGUUGCCUCGGCGGCGCCGGCCCCUCCGGGGCUGCCCGCCGGCGGUACCCAAAACUCUGUUUUUGUAGGCCUCUCUGAGUAACUUAUCAAAUAAGUCAAAACUUUUAACAACGGAUCUCUUGGUUCUG